This is a long non-coding RNA of Trichosurus vulpecula (common brushtail), 2837 nucleotides long. RefSeq lists it as uncharacterized. The record is from RefSeq and is a predicted model, not a curated record. NCBI's taxonomy places the organism in Eukaryota, Metazoa, Chordata, Mammalia, Diprotodontia, Phalangeridae. The transcript has 6 exons.
UCGAGAAGGGACCUGUGGUAAACCGACAGCUGCUUCAGUUUUGCCCAAAGUUGGGCAGGAAGGCUUGUGUCACCAGGUGGUACUAUUAAUAACUCCGGGUAAGCCUGUCCCCAGGCUGGCUGGCAGCUUCCAUAAAGCCUGAGCCGAGGACCCAGAAAGUCUUCUUCAGCCCCUGAGACCUUUAAAUCCCAUGUUGUGAGACAAAAAAGAAAAUCAUUUGUGUUCUACGCGAUGACCUUUCUCCAAUAUUGUCCCUCGGUGUGGAGGUGACCCUUGGCUCUCGACGGCUGUGCCAGCAUGUUCUGCCAAACUGACAAGGGUUGAGGACAGACUGCGUGACCCACUGCUGACAGAUGAGAAGUGAUGAAAGACGGAAAAGGGAGAGAAUACAUUAGCUUCUCUCUGGCCAGAAGGAUCAUGUGACUCCAAAUGCAGAGAUGGUGGGUGGACAUGGUCUUCCAGCACACAGGAGGCACUUGGUCAAGGUCUAUUAAAUGGAAAUAACUGGCUGGCACCAAAAGAUAGAAAAACAGUUACUGGAUUAUAUCUAAUAAAACAUUAAAAAAAAGCCCAACCUAAAACCCACCAAAGGAAGGCUUCCAUCAAAUUGAAUAAAUUCUCUAUGGAGGAUUUGUGGGAAUACAUGGAUUCACACAGGAUGAGAAGAUUUGGAAACAGGCUGGAUCUGCCUUAUGGAGGAGAGCAGACACCUUGAUGAGAUUACGGUAUCCAUUCAAGCAUUGGAGCAACUUGGUUCUGACUUCCCAGUGAAACGGUGACCCUGUCUAGGCUUGGGAUGAUUACCUUGUAAAAGUCAUCCUGGUGGAUCACACAGCAGUUUGGUAAUAUUUUGAUGAGUCUAUUGGUCAGUGUGGUUUUUCCUCCAUUGGUCAUGCUAGGGAAAGAGGAUUAAAAUCAGGUAAUCACGGCAUAUAGGGCACCCCAGAUCUUAAGUUUUAAUAGCUUAAGGUGGCUUCAAACUGCACCAAGACUUUCAGUACAGCUGGUAUCAUUUAUCCUUGGAUGAUAAUCAUAGGCAUCAGCUUCUUUCCAGGAAGUGACCAUUCACUACAGCCCCUGAUAAUAAUCUUUCAUUCAUCCAUUCAAGGUCUAUUAAGCUACUACCAUAUGCCAGGCCCUGAGCAUAAACAGAAAGAAAUGGAAUGGUCCCAUCCUCAAGGAGCUUAUUUUUCUGUUUUCCUUUAUUAAGGUUUUCUGGACAUCUGGUACAUUCAAUUUCGGAUUGUUCUCUUUCAAAAUUAUGUUGCAUGGUGUUCAGCAGGAAUUCAGCCUGGGACCUCAGGAAGGGGAGAGGACAUAUUGAUGCAAGAAUAUGAUGAGAUUAAAAGAAAAUAAAUGAAGAGGGCUUAUGGUGCAGUGGGUAGAGAUGUGCUAGGUUUAAGUUCUAUGUCUGACACAUGCUGGCUAGGUGACCCUGAGCAAGUCAUCUAACUUUUUAACAUCCCCUCCCCCAAGCAACUAUAUAAGGCUAUGAACUGCAGCUCAUGAGCCAAUCUGCAUUGGUAAAAAAAAAAUCUAUGUUUGUCUUUUGGAACCUCCUUAGACCAAUGAAGUCUAAUAAGUGAAGUUUAUAUUAAGUUUAAUAAAAAACAGAAAGGAAAAUGAAAGGCUAGCUAACACAACAGAAUUCCAUCUUUUUAGAGCCAAGUGUUUAAGAAAAGCUAAAGGCUUUACAUGUUCAGAACAACAUUCCCACUUUAAAAAAGCAAACAGUUUCUAAUUCUGUUAUACAAACUAGAUGGAAAAGAUGGCCUUUCAUAUAUAAACACCACUGAGUUUUCAUUUACUUCUCUCAUUUAUUUUUUCAAUGCAGGCCUUUUUCCAGAAAGGAUUUCAUGGGAUCUAAGAGCUAGAGCAGGAACAGACCUUAGAGGUCAUCUAUUCCGUACUCCUCAUUUUAGGUUAUGAGGAAAAUGAAGCCCGGGGAGUUGGAAUGAUUUGCUCACAGUCACCUGGGUAGCAAGUGGAACAGAUGGUCCCAUAAUUCCAAGGCUGGAUUUGAACUCAGGUCUUCCUGAUGCUUCCCAAUGCUAUUCUGUGCCAUCUAACUGACCCUAUAUAAUAAUCAUCAUCAUCGUAAUAAUGAUAAUAAUGCUAAUUGGAUGUUGUAGAUGCAUAGAGGUGAUAGGAUUCCAGAAUUAGAAGCCAUGCACCAGUUUACAAAUGAGGCCCGGGGAAGUCGGGAGAUUUGCCCAAGGUCACACAAGACACAUCAGACCCAGGCAGAUCUGACUCCAGAGCCAGGGCUCUUUCCACCGUCUUAUAAUUUUUCAAGUAUGGACAAGAAGGAAAGGAGGAAACAAACAUCUGUGAAGUGCCUACUAUGUGCCAGGCACUGUAUGGAAUGUUUUACAGUAUCAUCUCACUUGACCCUCUCAAUAAUCCUGGGAGGUAAGUGCUACUAUUAUCUCUGCUUUACCAAUGAAGACACUGAGAGUGGGGGAAGUUAAGUGACUUGCUCAAGGUCACACAGCUAGAGUAUCUGAGGCAGGAUUUGAAUUCAGGUCUAUUAACUUGAGCUACCUUGCUUGCCUCUGAGCCCCCUUCCCCCUCUUUUUCUGAGAUUCUAGAAUGCUGCAAUAAACUUGAAGACCAGCUCAUUUCCAUGCCUAGUUCAAGCGCGCUGACUGGGGUGACAACAGUCUAGAUGGCGAUGUCCUGGACAAAAAGCCUGCAGGUUGUUCUAGGGAGCUCCACAGGGGAUUGGGGGAGAUAGGGUUUCAGAACACUCCAUCUUGAUUUCCUGGAGCCCAGAUGGAACAAGCCUCAGUGAAGCAGAGAAGGCUGAGAAAGAUCCCCAUCCUGGGAUGGGGGUU